AGCUGUAGCACAUUGAAACACCGAUUCUCAUACGAUCACUGAAGUUAAGCAACGUCGGACCUGGUCAGUACCUCGAGGGGCUGCCACUUGGGAAUACCAGGUGCCGUAAG
This is a non-coding RNA of Acanthosepion pharaonis, 110 nucleotides long. NCBI's taxonomy places the organism in Eukaryota, Metazoa, Mollusca, Cephalopoda, Sepiida, Sepiidae. The record is from the annotation of a GenBank genome assembly.